GCGGAGCCGGCGGGGAGGGACGCGGGGAGGGACGCGGGGCCGCCCCCGCGCCGCGCCAGGCACCGGCCGCCCCGCCGCGCCAGGCACCGGGGGCUCGGCUCGGGGCGCUGCCCGUUCCUCGGGACUCGAGCCCCCCCCGCGGUGCCCCGCAACCCCCGCUGCUCGCCCCGGUGUGCCCGGGCUCGGAGCGCCCUGCCCGGGUUUGGCGACCAACGUGGCACUGGGAGCCGCGGGGGUGCUGGUUCUCGGCCCGCUCGGUGGCACCGGCAGGUUAACGUGGUGGUAACAGGCUAAAAACCUACACGGUCCUCUGCGGGAGACCAAAAACUCGUUGGAUAGAGCUCCUGGCUUUGAAAUCUGCUGAACUCCCGACUGCAGGGCCGAAAGAAUCACAGGAUCAGUUAGGUUGGAAAAGACCUCUGAGAUCAUCGAGUCCAACCUAUGACUGAACACCACCACCGUGUCAGUGGAAAACACGAGCUGCUGUUCCUGGUGUAGAUUAUCCGAGGAGGCACAGCUGUGCAGACCCGGGCAGUGGUUUGUCACGCAAGUGUCACCCCAGCCAUCCUCUCUGUGCCGUCCUGGUGAAGGCUCAGCCUGCAGGGAGAAAGAAACGGGCACUGGAGAAAUCCUUCUAAACCAGAGGUAUCAAGAACAAGCAAGAAACACAAAGGGAAGGCAUUGGAAAAAGGGGAAUAAAGGGGCGGUACCAGCUGAUGGCUUGAGCCUAAAGGGGUUCCUGCAAGAAGGAGCUUCCCCUCUCCUUAAAAGAUUUUGGCAGUUCACUUCCAGUUGGAGGGAUGUGGGCAGGGAUGGAGGUCCCCACGGAGGACCACCUAUGACUCAGGGGGAGGGCAGUGUAGCAAACCAAAAGGGCCUGGUUUCUCUCACACCCAAGAGAACAGCAUGAAGCUGUCAGGAGGGGUUUAGGUUUGAUCUUAGGAAAAGGUUUUUCACCCGGAGGGUGGUCGGGCACUGAACAGGCUCCCCAGGGCAGUGGGCACAGCACCAAUUCUGCCAAAUUGAAGAAGCAUUUGGAUGACGCUCUCAGGGACAGGGUGGGAUUGUUGGGGUGUCCUGUGCAGGGCCAGGAGUUGGACUGGAUGAUCCUUGUGGGCACUUCCAACUGAGGAUAUUCUAUGAUUCUAUGAUUCCCUGACCUGCAGGAGGGCAGCACUACUUACUCUGUGUAAUAGAACACUGUGAGGAGAUCCUUGAGGCUGUUCUCAAGCUAAAAAGCAGUCUAAAUGUGUGUCAGCACAGCACUGUGAUAGUCCUGAGGAGGGGCAGAGUUAAUUAGCCAAGGCCCAGGAUCACAUUAACAUGGAUUCUCAGAUGGCUGAGAUGAACCUCCCAAAGUCUCUGGAGUCCCUAUUGACUACAGCCACUACAUACAAAGACAAAGUGAGGGCAGGAGGGAAGAUAGAGGUAAAAUGAGUUGCUGAAGGUCAAAUAUUAGAUCAGGAGAGAAGAGAAAUCAGACCCUACAGUUCCUCACCCCUCCAGUACUUUCUCCUCUGAACUGUAACAAAACCCCAGAACAACAACGGGAUUUAGCUGCUGCUGACACAGGAGCUUCCUGUGUUCCAGGGAAAAAUUCUGUAUUUUGGUAUAGGACCAAAUGCACAUGGAAAAAAAACCUCUUUACUAGCAUGGCCCCACAGUUCAGUGACAUACAGUGACACACAAGAUAUCACCAGAUGACUUAAAGGGAAAUGAAAUAUGUGCCCUGUCAUUAGAAAAAGGCCCCACAAAGGUACAGCCCCAGUCUUUUGUUGUAAGUUGAUAAAGAGAGAAAACUGCCAUUUGCUGCUAAGUGACUCCUAACGAUUAAACAACCUUUCUCCUCUCACCCCCUCGGGGCAAUUAGAGAUAAUAUAAGAAAGAUUUUGCACAUUGUUUAGCUUACAUGGCCAUCUGGUCCUUCUGCAUUUCAGUAGCCUUGAACAUUAAAAAAAAAAAAUAGAUAAAGAAAACCAGUCCUAUCUUAUUGGAGACCUGGAGAAGUUUAACUCUGUCAGAGUACACAGGAUUAACCAAGUCCUUACAGCUCUUUUAUUGCUUCCAUCUUGAUUAACAGUCAUAUUCGUCACAGCUUUGUGUUGUCCUCUGUAAACUGAGCUGUUCCUUACUGACACUGUUUCAACCACGAAACACAACUCCAGCAGUUGCAUCUGGCUCCUGUAGCUGUUCUGAUCCUGGGCAAUGGAGACACAACAGAGGCACAUGCUGAGAAAAGAUCCAUACAGGUUUUCAGCCAAAAUUUAAAACCAGUAUUACUAGAAGUCUUGUGUGAGUAGGGAAAAGGGUGCUCUUUUCAAAGGAAAAUGCAGCGGUCUUGGCCUAACUCAGAAACCUUCCUGCUGCUCAGACGUCACCUAAUCCCACGGCACUAAGCAGUUUCUUCAUCUGCUUUUGCUCAAGGGGAUAAAAGCACAAUUCCCCCAAAGUAACCUGCUCCAAAGUCUCUGGAAACAACAAAAAGUUUGGUCUCAACUCAGCUUAUGGUUGGCUUAUGGUUGAAUCCAGCACUUGUUCUGGGGUUAAUUCCUGCUCCACUCUUCCUGGUGGAAGAAAACCAAGAAGGGUUCAGUCUGUUUGGAAAGAAUGUGAUUUCCUUAAGAAUGUGGCUUUGGGCCUUGUAGGAAGAAGCCAGCUGAGGAUGCUUUCACCUGUAGUGCUGGAGCAGGCUUUUGACUGAAAUCUGUAUCAGCAGGGAAGAUUCAGUGUAAACACACUGUGAAUAACAGAGGAUUUAUGCUGAGGCAAAAACCACUCAGGCUCUGUUCCCAACUGCACUUUGCAUUGUAACAUCGCUAGUUUGCAUUUUAGGGAGAGCAGGGAGCUUAUAAAUGUGCUGCAACAUCCAGCUUUUGGGUAUCAGCUGCCAGAGUGCAAUAGAAUACCCAGAGUCAGGUACCUCGUCCUUCUAUUUAUAGCCUGGAGAGUGUCAGACGCUUCCCAAGGGCGAGUGGAAACUCCCACCUGCCAAGCAGAGAGACCUGGGAGAAGGAAACAUCAAAGGAGGGAUGUAUUAGACUUGCUUUGCAUAGCCAGUGUGUAGGUGUUUCCAUCAGCUUGGGAUCCUGGGCCCACACAUCUGGGGUUUUGGAGUCUGUCAGGACUCUUUGAAGGAUCAGAGCAAGGACAACAAUUCCUGUUUAACACCGUGGGUGUCAGGGUUGCAUCUGAUGUUUGUUAUAUGUGCUGAUCUAGGUGGCAGAGAAAUACCCAGGAAAGGGAAGACUCUCUCCAAACCCAUCCAGGUGAGAGUCCAAAUGUCUCUCUACCUGCUUGGACUGUGCCCUCCUCCAGGCUGAGGCAUUGAGGGUUUGCUGGGUGGUUACCUCACACUCCUGGUAAAAAUGGGCUGCAGCAAAAAAAUAAACCUCAAAGAACAGAGCAAGAGGCUUAACUGUGUUUCCUAUUUGUUGUAAGAGAGGAAUUUCACUUCUAUUCACCCUUACAAUUUGUUCUGGUUUUUAAACUAGUGACCAUUUCAGAUGAAAAGCAGAAGUGGGGACAGCAGCCAAUGCAUCAUAAUGAUUCUGCUGUUCAAUCCUUGAUUGAGAGCUUAUCAAUAAAAUUUGACAGGAGGACACUCUGUGCCCUCUGCAGCAUCACAGUUUGCCUACAGAGGAUUUUCUUUGACUCCAUGCAAGUGGCUGUGGGCUACAGCUUUAUAAUUCCAUUUGCCUGAACUUUCACUGAAAAUACAUUCAGAAAAUGUAAUUAUUUCAGGGUUAAAUUUGGGGAUAGGUUUCCCUACACCUUCCAUACUGAUUUUCAUUUGUGCAAGAGUGGGAAGAAUCACCCUCACAAAGAACAAUAUCCCAUGUGAAGGAAUGAAGAGCAGAAAGAACAAGUUAGCAGAUUGCCAUAUAAUGAUCUCCUCAGUACAAAAUGUAUCUGGUAAUGACAAUUAUAUUGCCAAGGAACAGAGGAAUUCAAAUUGGUUCUCAAAGCUUCGAUGGCUAAAAUGUGGGGAUAUUAUCAUAAAAUCAUCAGGUCUGUAUGAGAAUGAGGGGUUUAACCUUCCAGGCAUGUCUAAUAUCUGCACAGGAUAAUGAGUUCAUAAAUUCAUAUCGCUUGUUUACCUCUAAUUAAUGCUAUUAUGUUUAUUCCUCUUAGCACAAUAUUUCUCUUAACAUAAUAAAAUCAGUAGCAGUCAGGAAUUUGGGUGAAAAACACCUGAUUAACGUGUUUUAUCUUAAAGCAACAUUGCAAUACUUCAAAAUCUUGGCAUUACCCAAACACAUCGAGACCAGUGCGGUGACCUAAAUAUUGUCAGUGGAAGGUGUCACUGCAGCACGUUAAGGAAACCCAUUCUGGCUGUAAUUUACCUGGCUCAGGUAACACCUGCAAAGCUGCACAGCAAACCCUGAGCCUGCCAAGGACCUGAAGCAGAUACUUGGGUUGCCUGGAAGGGCACACAGAUGUGUUAUCGCUGAUGUUGUUAUUUGAGCUCGUGAGAUUAAGCCCAGGCUGUACCUCAGCUUCCUAAAUUCAGCAUCGACAUCCACGUGAGUGGAAAGUAGCAAAUGUGCCAGUCUGGAUGCUCAGAGGAGCAAACAAGUGAAGCUCAGCGUGAAGAUGCAGGCGGAGGUCCCGCAUUUUCAGGCUGUUGGAAGGGCAUGGCUGUCCUCUGGCGCUGACCAUCGCUCCUGCUGCUCAGCAGUUUCCCGUUUGCCAGCACUUCUUUUAUCCCAACGCCGUCCACAUUUUUGCAGUGCCACCAAGCGGAUGGUUCCCCCGUUAGCAUUUUAGUUUCACACGUUAUCAUUUUAAAACAAAUGCAGAACUGUCCAGUAGCUGAGUGGUGAUAAGCACAACCCACCCCAGCGAAGCUGCAGAGUCAGCACGAUGUGAUACAGGAGGAAAUAAAGGGUCUUUAAUGAAAACCCUUUAAAAAUGUGUUUGUGAUGCUUUGAGGCCUGUGGAAACCUGUCUCUGGCUCCUCAGGAGGCAGCAUAGCACAGUCACUGAGGUGUGGACAUGGACCUUCUGGGCUCCUCAGUGCAAGAAAGAUGUGGAACUCCUGGAGCAGGACCAGGGGAGGGCAAUGAGGAUGAUUAAAGGACUGGAACCUCUCUUAGGAGGAAAGGCUGAGGGAGCCGGGCCUGUUCAGCCUUGAGAUGACUGAGGGGACCUCAUCAACAAGUAUAAAUAUCUAAAGAAGGGGUGCCAGAAGAUGGACCAGGCUCCGCUCUGUGGUGCCAAGUAAUAAAAGAGGCAAUGGGCAGAAACUGAUGCACUGGAAGUUAUACCUGAAUAUGAGGAAGAACUUUAUCGUGUGGGUGACCAAGCACUGAACACACUGCCCAGAGAGGGUGUAGA
Long non-coding RNA from Pseudopipra pipra, 5337 nucleotides. RefSeq lists it as uncharacterized. The record is from RefSeq and is a predicted model, not a curated record. The transcript has 3 exons. Lineage: Eukaryota; Metazoa; Chordata; Aves; Passeriformes; Pipridae.